This 470-nucleotide ribosomal RNA is filed under the name uncultured bacterium. RNAcentral describes it as "bacterial SSU rRNA". It matches the Rfam family "Bacterial small subunit ribosomal RNA", at positions 29 to 507 of the family's 1533-position model. The record is from RNAcentral.
AACGAACGCUGGCGGCGCGCCUAAUACAUGCAAGUCGAGCGAGAAGACGUAGCAAUACGUUUGUAAAGCGGCGAACGGGUGAGGAAUACAUGGGUAACCUACCCUCGAGUGGGGAAUAACUAGCCGAAAGGUUAGCUAAUACCGCGUACGCUCCUUGGACUUCGGUUCAUGGAGGAAAGCGAUACCGUGGGUAUCGCGCUCUUGGAUGGGCUCAUGUCCUAUCAGCUUGNGGUGAGGUAACGGCUCACCAAGGCUUCAACGGGUAGCUGGUCUGAGAGGACGAUCAGCCACACUGGCACUGCGACACGGGCCAGACUCCUACGGGAGGCAGCAGUAAGGAAUAUUGCGCAAUGGGCGAAAGCCUGACGCAGCGACGCCGCGUGGGGGAGUGAAGGUCUUAGGGUUGUAAAGCUCUUUUACCCCGGGAAGAUAAUGACGGUACCGGGAGAAUAAGCCCGGCUAACUUCGUG